Molecule: long non-coding RNA, 6060 nt
Filed under: Lathyrus oleraceus (garden pea)
Lineage: Eukaryota; Viridiplantae; Streptophyta; Magnoliopsida; Fabales; Fabaceae
Description: Pisum sativum (pea) long non-coding RNA (PSAT_LNC030515)
Source: RNAcentral
UUUGUUUCUGAUAUACCUGUCCUUCUCAAUCCAUAACCUUGUAACUAUCCUACCCUGUUCAGAGUACGUGAGGAUUAAUUUCAUCUCUACGUUUCUAUCUAAGUUUGGGGUUGCUGUUGGAAUAGAAACCUUUAAGUUUGGGGUAGCUUUGCAGUAAGUGAAUGUAAAAAAAAAUAUUAAAAAAAAGAGGAGCAAGCAAAAGCUUGUGAUCCGAAGAAAGAAAGAGAAAAGCGAAAAACAAUAAAAGAACAGCUUUUGAAAAAUGCUACAUUCACUAUAGAUAAAAAGAGGAAUACAAAACCCAACAAGAAUAAUAGGAAAGAAACAUAGUGAGAGAACGAUUUCAUGUACUCUGGACCAAAAACCUUUAUUCCAUUUUCAUACCCUACCUAAACCAAAGCCCCGUUACAACCCAAAAGACCUCAAAAAGUGUGUGUGAUCGUACAUGUUGAUAGGAUGAGAGAUUUUAUUCAAACUUCUGAUUUGAUAUUGCAUAUUGUGAUUUGAGCGUGAUAACACUUUAACCCAGAGAGACUUGGUGAGAGUGUGAUAUGAGUUGACAGGUAAAGUGAUAUCUCUGAGGGAAAGAGUUUCUAGCUCGUUGGUUAUGUGGAAAAAUCAAAAAACCUGAAAGAACAUCAAGAGGUCCAGUGCGAAAGAUUUCAGCAGUAUUGUGGCAAGAACUGUUUUACAGUAAGUUUGGGGUGACAUGAUCUUUGAUGGUAAUAAAAUGUUACUUAAGGACAAGCAACAAGCUAAGUUUGGGGUUGUGAUCAGUCACCAGUUAUGCUAGGUAUUUCACUAUUUAACCGUAAAUAAGUCAGGUAAACUGCGUAAACUGAAGCAUUUUUAGUUAGAUAUAAGCUCAAUUCUAUAAUAUAAAGUGUGUUGUUACUUAUGAGUUUCUUGAGGAUAUUUUACACUUUUGGGUAUGUUAGCAGGUAAAAAACUAGUCUGGAAGCUCAGGGAAUCAAACGUCAGAUGCGAAAUUAAGCCCGAGCAAGAAAACGGAAGAAAAAAUCAAUUCUUGGAGAACUUGCUGUCCAUACGCGUAUGGCCUUACAUGAUACGCGUAUGGACCUUCCCAGUACGCGUAGCAUACGCAAAUGACCAGAGGGGUUGAAAAUCAAGCAAAAAGACAAGCUUCUGGUGAUACGCGUACCAAACUGGUGAUACGCGUACCAGACUGGGCAAUACGCGUACCAGACUGGGCAAUACGCGUAUCAGAGGCUGGCUUACGUGCAGUACGCGUACCAGACUGGGCAAUACGCGUAUCAGACUGGGCAAUACGCGUAUGGCCCCCAAAAUCAGGAAAAGCCCAACUGCAUAGCUAUUUAGAGGGGAGAACACGAUUUUCCGAGGGUUGGACGAUUUGGAGAGAAAAAAGACGCGUUUUGAGAGCUGGAGACUCUACGAUUAUCAGAGGAUUCAUAUGUUCAAGAGUUUUCCGACGAUUGAAGAUUGAUUCCUCACGAAAUUCUGUAAUGACAACAAUGUUAAUCUUUGUUUUUAUUUCUAUUAUGAGUAGCUAAACCCCCCAUUGCUAGGGGGGUGACCCUGAUUCUGAAUGUGACAGAUUUUAUGUUUAUGAGUGCAUUGACUAUUUCUUCUUUUCCAUUGAUUUGUUCUUAUUACCGUUCUUUAUGCUUUAUUCGUCGGACCAACGAAUGAUGAUUAAUAUGAAUAGUUUAAGCUGGACAGCGAUUAUUCAUUGAUCUGGAUAAGAACUUUGGAUAGUAAAAAUAACCUAGGACUAGGGAUUUUCUAUCUGACCGGUAAUUCUUGAUAUUUGAAUGCUUGAGUAUGAACUUAAUUAUUUAUGGACAUAGUAAUUAGGUUACAUAAUCAAAGGUCUUUUCACUAAGGAAUUAGGAAUAGAUACCCUUGAGGACCGGAAUUAAUUGGACAGGAAUAUUGUCUAAACUUUCAUAAAUUAUAUCUGUUACAGGAAGUUUCAUUCACCGAACCCUAGCAAUCUUCUCUCAUUUGUCUCUUGUUCAACCUUUUACUUGUUUUAUUUAUUUGCAAUUGAUAGUAUAAUUACUCACAACACAAAAACCAAAGGCUUUUUGUCUAAUUGAAACAAUCUAUAAACUCUGUAUCGUCAAGCAGUCCUUGAGAUCGACAAACGGGGAAUUUCCCUUUUAUUACUACAGUGAGAAAAAUAGUACACUUGCUAUUUUCCCAUCAAGUUUUUGGCGCCGUUGCCGGGGACUGCCAAAGAUAAUAGAGUUUAUUAAUUUAUUUUCAAUUAGAAUUUUGUUGCUCUGCAUCCAAAAUUUUAUUUACUGCUAAUUUUAAUUUUUAUUAUUAUUAUAACUAACUUCUGUCUAAUCUGUGUAUGCGAGGUAAGGCCUCAGCUGAUUUUCAUUUUGACGCAGAACCAGAGAGAACAUUGCGCGCAAAGCUCAGAGAAGCUAGAAGAAAGAAACUGGAAAACUCUGACACCGAAGAACCGGCCACACUUAGCACACCAGUCUCUGUUCACUCCGAAAAAUCUGAGUCAGACACAGAUUCACAUCCAGACACUGUUAACAUGGCUGCAGACCCACCCCCAGCGGAAAGACUUUUAGGUGACUAUGGCAGACAGAAUAACCCAGCAGUGCGGUUGACCAUUGUUAACCAACCUGUUAAUGUUGCUCACUUCCAGUUACACCCCUCAACUAUCCGUCAGUUAGAAAGCAAACCUUUUGCAGGAAAGAUCAAUGAGGAUGCAAACAAGCAUCUGCAGAGGUUUCUGACUAUGACUACAUCAUUAAAAAUUGAUGGGCAUUCUGAAGAGGCAAAGAGAUUGGUCAUGUUCCCAUUCACGUUAUCUGAGGACGCUGAGGAAUGGUUCUAUUCCCUACCCGCAGGAAGCAUUACUACUUGGCAACAAAUGGAAACAACAUUCUUGAACGAGUAUUUUCCUGCUUCUGUGUAUAUCCGUAAGAGGUAUGACAUUGUGAAUUUUAAACAGAAAGACGGAGAGACACUUGGAGAUGCAUACAAAAGAUUCAAGAGAUGUUUAGUUGCAUGUCCUACACAUAAUCUGGAUGAAACUGAACAAAUGCAGAAUUUUGUAAACGGGCUGAAGAUGAGAACUAAGCAACUCAUUGAUACAGCUGCUGGUGGCUCAUCUAAUUUUUCAACAGCAACCGGUAUCAAAAAGAUCAUCGAAGCUAUUGCAGCGAAUGAGCAUUUGGAAUUAUAUGACCGUACUGUGAAUCAGCCGGAGGGAAAAAUUGACUUGAAAUUAGCAAAUCAGGUAGUGAAAAUGGAAGACCAGAUUGCUGCUGAGGUUGAAAGAAGAUUGAAAGCUAUGAAUUUAGGUACCCAGACUGUUGCUCAAGUUCAACCGGUUCCGACCAUGAUUUGUGAGAUUUGUAGUGGACCACACUUUACCAUGCAUUGUGUUGCAACCGCAGAACAAGUGCAAGCUAUAAAUUACCUGAGGCAAAAUAAUCCCUACUCAAAUACAUAUAAUCCGGGGUGGAAAAAUCAUCCUAAUUUCUCUUGGAAAGAUCAGCAAGGUAAUAUUCAGAACCAAGGACCUCCACAACAACAACCACCUUACCAACCACAAUAUCAAUCGCAACAGCAACCUUAUCAGCAACAAAUACCGAAGAAAGCGGAUUGGGAGAUUGCUAUAGAGAAGAUGGCAACUCAGAAUAUGCAAUUUCAGGAAGAGACCAGGAAUAAUCAGAAGAGCACCAAUGCAUCCAUUAAAAAUCUGGAGAUUCAAUUGGGUCAGAUAGCACAACAGAUAACAAAUUUUCAAACACCGGGCGCAUUACCUAGUGCAACAGUGACAAAUCCGAGGGAGCACCAUAAUGUGAGUGCGGUAACAACAAGAAGCGGAAGAUAUGUUGAAGAUCGUAAGAAGAAGGAUGAAGAAGAAGAUCAGUUGCUUGAAGUGGACCUGGAAAUCUUAGAAAACAAGACACCACCUGAGGAAGAAAGUGUGACACUGCCGGUGGUACAAGAAAAGCUACCUGAACCAAAACCCAUCAUUAAGCUUCCAUUCCCACAAAGAAACAAAAAGAAGAAGCAAGAUGAGAAAAAUUUUCAGAAAUUCAUGGAGUUGUUCAAGAAAUUAGAAAUCAAUAUUCCAUUCUCUGAGGCACUCGAGCAGAUGCCUAUCUAUGCGAAAUUCAUGAAAGACAUCAUCUCCAAGAAGCGCACCACUGACACUGACCCUGUUAUACUAACUGAAACUUGUAGUGCUAUUUUGCAGGGUAUGAAGAUUCCAGUGAAGAAGCCAGAUAGAGGUUCUGUGACCAUCCCGUGUACCAUUGGAGAUAGGUCUUUUAAAAGGGCGCUGAUUGAUUUGGGGGCUAGUGUUAGCCUUAUGCCUUUGUCUAUUUACAGGAAGCUAGGAAUUGGAAAUGUUCAAGAUACCAGAAUGACACUUCAAUUUGCUGACCACUCAGUGAAGAGACCUUUUGGGGUAGUUGAGGAUGUUCUGGUCAAAGUUGAUAAAUUUGUUUUUCCUGUUGAUUUUGUAAUUUUGGAAAUGCCAGAAGAUGAAGAGAUACCUCUGAUUCUGGGCAGACCUUUCUUAGAAACAGGUAGAUGCAAUAUAGAUAUGGAGGAAGGUACCAUGACCCUAAAGGUGUAUGAUGAAGAGCUCAGAAUUGAUGUCCGAGAUACUAUGAAACAUAAAGAGAAUAUGUGUACAAACCACUCCGUGGAAGUGAUUGAUCAAAUUGUAACUAGCACAAUUCAAAGAAAGUUUCCUGAAUUACCGUUAGAAAGAGUUCUUAGUCUGUCGGUCAGAGAGAUGGAGGAGAAGGAUGAGGAAAAAGAAAAAGAAGUGCUUGCUAUGCUGGAUACACAAACCCCUUGGAGGAAAUACAACCCACGCAGGUGGGAGGAUCUGAGAGCUUCACCAGAAUUAGAAGAUGAAAAGGUACUGAAGAAACAUAAAAGUGGUAUUGGAGUUUUAAAUGAGAAGAAUGGCGAUACCUUCAAGGUUAAUGGUCAGAGGUUGAAACCAUAUGAUCCCGGUGAAGGGGGACCAAUUGAAACUGUUAAACUCAUCUGAGUAUGAGGUGUCCCGUCGAGCCAUGCGACGUUAAACGAAGCGCUGCUUGGGAGGCAACCCAAGGGAGGUUUGAAUUAUUUUUUUGUUAUUUUAAUUUUGUCGAGUCAGUUGAAAUUUGAAUUUUAGUUUUAUUUAGCAUUUGUUCAUGUCAUUUGAGUCAGUUUUUAUUUUCUUUUGCUUUGAUGUAAUCACCUAUUAUGGGUUGUCUUAAUCUAAUGAAUUUGAUUUUGUUUACCUACAUUUUCCUGUUUAUUUCGUUAGAUAUGUGACUAUGUCUGGCUAUUGGUUAUCUUGAUCACUUACACCAAACACUUGGGUGUCCUCUCAUUCAGUCCCCUUGACUGUAGAUACUGUUGUUUAUGAUUGGACGCACUGGUUAAGAUUAACAUCAGAACCAAGAGCACAUGAGCUUUGAACUCAGAGGUAUGAUAGAACAAGUCAGCUUAACCCGUCAUGGUGAGAUCAGAAAAAGCCAAACACUUAUCAUCAUAUGAGAGAUAUCAGGUAUGUCUUUAUCAAUCAUGGUUUGCGUAUGUUCUUUUUAUUAUUAGCUGUAUGAAUACACACACUGAGGCAUAUUUUUGUUUAUCACCUAGAGCCUUUCGAGCCAUCCCAUCUAUUAUUAUUAUCCUUUGUUUAACCCUGUUGAGCCUGUUAUUCAUUUGUUUCUGAUAUACCCGUCCUUCUCAAUCCAUAACCUUGUAACUAUCCUACCCUGUUCAGAGUACGUGAGGAUUAAUUUCAUCUCUACGUUUCUAUCUAAGUUUGGGGUUGCUGUUGGAAUAGAAACCUUUAAGUUUGGGGUAGCUUUGCAGUAAGUGAAUGUAAAAAAAAAUAUAAAAAAAAAAGAGGAGCAAGCAAAAGCUUGUGAUCCGAAGAAAGAAAGAGAAAAGCGAAAAACAAUAAAAGAACAGCUUUUGAAAAAUGCUACAUUCACUAUAGAUAAAAAGAGGAAUACAAAAUCCAACAAGAAUAAUAGGAAAGAAACAUAGUGAGAGAACGAUUUCAUGUACUCUGGACCAAAAACCUUUAUU